This is a long non-coding RNA of Helianthus annuus (common sunflower), 873 nucleotides long. RefSeq lists it as uncharacterized. The transcript is spliced from 3 exons. The record is from RefSeq and is a predicted model, not a curated record. Lineage: Eukaryota; Viridiplantae; Streptophyta; Magnoliopsida; Asterales; Asteraceae.
ACACAUACGUGUGUUCCUGCGAUCUCCAUGGGAGCUUCUAGAGCUCAAACCAUAAAUUCCAAGAAUUCACCAAAUUGAAAGGGGAAAUCAAGCCCAAAUCAAAAUCCAAGCAUAGAUUAGUGAUCACCGCAGUGAAGUGAUCAUAAGGCGAGGAAACCGAGUUUUCAAACGGACAAGCCAGGGGCGAUACGCGCUUGAAAGGAAAGCCUUGAAGGUAAUUUGGGAAACGUGGGGAAUAAGUGAAGAGUGUCGUGAAGAUAAAGAUUUAUUUUUAUUUCGGUAAUGUAAUGAAAAUGUAAUUAGAAUCUUUUGUUUUCAACAUUAUGGGUUGGUUUUAGUUUUGAUAUCUGUAUGAGUGACAUGCCAGCCUAUUCUGGGUUGGGGUGUUACAAUUAUGGUAUCAGAGCAAAGACUCUUUCAUGUAGAAAACUUAAACCUUAAAAAAAAAAAACUAAACCUGUGAGGUAAUUGGUAGACGUUGGGUUAGGAUUUCAACUUUUGAUCAACUUUCAUACUUGUCAGUUUGUCGUCUUUGGGUCUAUCUGCUCGAGGCGUUUCUUUUGUUAAUCGCUACUAAUCUGCUUAUGAUCAUGUUCUGUAUCUGAAUCUGUUUUAGAAUCAGCCGCAUCUCUUUGAUAUAGUAUCCGCAUCGGUUUUGUAUCGAAAUUUGUCUCAGUGUCAGUUUUAGUUUUCGAUGUAGAUUUAGAUGUUGUGUUUGGUUUAUAUCUAUUGUCACAUGUUUUAAGUGUCUGUAUUAGUAUUUGUUUUGCUUUGGUGUUGUCUCCUGUUCCACACCAGUUUUAUGUUUUAUCAAGAUAAACACUUCUACGUUUGUUAUCUUUUCGUUAUGUCUUAAAAUUAUAACAAUUGACC